This is a long non-coding RNA of Etheostoma spectabile (orangethroat darter), 167 nucleotides long. RefSeq lists it as uncharacterized. NCBI's taxonomy places the organism in Eukaryota, Metazoa, Chordata, Actinopteri, Perciformes, Percidae. The transcript is spliced from 3 exons. The record is from RefSeq and is a predicted model, not a curated record.
UAACCAUUUUCCACCCUCUUUUUUUGAACACAGAUUACUGAGUAAAUUCAAAACCCUAAAAGAAAUGUUGAGCUGAUAUGUCAACAUUUGUACAUGUUAUCCAAUCCUGUUGUGCUAAUUCAGUUGCUUGUGAUCUUGGUAGAAGUUGAGGAAAGUUAUCUUUUUUU